AACGAACGCUGGCGGCAUGCCUAACACAUGCAAGUCGAACGAGACCUUCGGGUCUAGUGGCGCACGGGUGCGUAACGCGUGGGAACCUGCCCUUAGGUUCGGAAUAACUCCCCGAAAGGGGUGCUAAUACCGGAUAAUGUCUUCGGACCAAAGAUUUAUCGCCUUUGGAUGGGCCCGCGUUGGAUUAGCUAGUUGGUAGGGUAAAAGCCUACCAAAGCGACGAUCCAUAGCUGGUCUGAGAGGAUGAUCAGCCACACUGGGACUGAGACACGGCCCAGACUCCCACGGGAGGCAGCAGUGGGGAAUAUUGGACAAUGGGUGAAAGCCUGAUCCAGCAAUGCCGCGUGAGUGAUGAAGGCCUUAGGGUUGUAAAGCUCUUUUACCCGGGAUGAUAAUGACAGUACCGGGAGAAUAAGCUCCGGCUAACUCCGUG
This 433-nucleotide ribosomal RNA is filed under the name uncultured bacterium. RNAcentral's name for it is "partial 16S ribosomal RNA". It matches the Rfam family "Bacterial small subunit ribosomal RNA", at positions 29 to 507 of the family's 1533-position model. The record is from RNAcentral.